ACAGAUCGACCCCCAUGGCAACCGGCUGUCGCUCCACCUCCGCCACCCGGGCCAUCGUCCUCGCGCUGCUGCUCCUCUGCUUCGCCGCCACUACGGUGCAGUCGAGGAAGCCUUCGGCCAGGUACAUCUCGUACGCGGCCCUCCCAAGACCCGACUGCCUGCGAGCCGGCCGUCCCGUUUUCUGCCGCGGGGUCUCGGCCAUCUCCGGCAAGCCUUCACCCGGGUGGGCCUUUAUAUCUUACAGUGCUCGUUGAUGCUGUCGUUUACAAAUUGAUUCUCUGGACUAUAUAGUACGUAUAUGAAUCCAAGCUUAAUUUGUUAGGUUUUGUUUGUUGCAGAUGUGCAUGUCACGACUCGACGCGGAGAUGGCGGCGGAUCUUCACAGAGAUCCCUGAGCCCCUAGCAGCAUCGAUCGUCCGUGCUUUGUAGAACUGCAAGACAAGAGGAAUAUAUAUGUUGGAAUUUAUGUUUACCUUUAACUUGUAAUCUCAACAGCAUAUCUCCUCCCCCUCUCUCUCGUAGCUAUCUCAAUCUUUGUAACGACCGUAUCGUUGGCGAUCGGUUCAACUUGUAAGCCACGGCAGGGCUUCUGCCUCAUAUCAAUAUAAAUCAUCGCGGCUCCCUUACGAGGGAGUAGGAACGCUUCCCAA
Molecule: long non-coding RNA, 650 nt
Filed under: Triticum aestivum (bread wheat)
Lineage: Eukaryota; Viridiplantae; Streptophyta; Magnoliopsida; Poales; Poaceae
Description: long non-coding RNA (TAES_LNC003948)
Source: RNAcentral